UGCAAGUCGACGAGCUUGACGGAUGAUUUCUUCGGAAUGAAACCAGAUAUGACUUAGUGGCGGACGGGUGAGUAACACGUGAGCAACCUGCCUUUCAGAGGGGGAUAACGGCUGGAAACGGUCGCUAAUACCGCAUGACGUGUUCGGAUGGCAUCAUCUGAACAUCAAAGAUUUAUCGCUGAAAGAUGGGCUCGCGUCUGAUUAGAUAGUUGGUGGGGUAACGGCCUACCAAGUCUACGAUCAGUAGCCGGACUGAGAGGUUGAACGGCCACAUUGGGACUGAGAUACGGCCCAGACUCCUACGGGAGGCAGCAGUGGGGAAUAUUGCACAAUGGGGGAAACCCUGAUGCAGCAACGCCGCGUGAAGGAUGACGGUUUUCGGAUUGUAAACUUCUUUUCUUAGUGACGAAGACAGUGACGGUAGCUAAGGAAUAAGCAUCGGCUAACUACGUGCCAGCAGCCGCGGUAAUACGUAGGAUGCAAGCGUUAUCCGGAUUUACUGGGUGUAAAGGGAGCGCAGGCGGGACUGCAAGUUGGAUGUGAAAUACCGUGGCUUAACCACGGAACUGCAUCCAAAACUGUAGUUCUUGAGUGAAGUAGAGGCAAGCGGAAUUCCGAGUGUAGCGGUGAAAUGCGUAGAUAUUCGGAGGAACACCAGUGGCG
This 663-nucleotide ribosomal RNA is filed under the name uncultured bacterium. RNAcentral describes it as "bacterial SSU rRNA". It matches the Rfam family "Bacterial small subunit ribosomal RNA", at positions 56 to 717 of the family's 1533-position model. The record is from RNAcentral.